This is a long non-coding RNA of Grus americana (Whooping crane), 439 nucleotides long. RefSeq lists it as uncharacterized. The record is from RefSeq and is a predicted model, not a curated record. Lineage: Eukaryota; Metazoa; Chordata; Aves; Gruiformes; Gruidae. The transcript is spliced from 3 exons.
GAUGGAGCCCCAAUGUGUGUCCAGUCUUCUAAGCCUGAUGCUGGAAACAAAAAUGCUCUCCAGAAAGACAUUCAAGAUUUACUAGAGUGUGUAUUCCAAAAGCAGGAACAUGGAUGAAGUUCAGUGUUACUUCACUGGAACAGAGUUGUGAACUAUAAAAAAAUGAACGGUUAAGAGACUAUUGAAGCUGUAUACAGAACCACCCUGCCUGAAGCACAAACAAGCAAUGCACUACAAGGCUUCAAAUUCCUUUCACUAGAGGAUUAAUGAACCAAGGAGACAACCUGCUGUCAUGAAGACCUUAUUUCCUGCAGAAGUUUUGGGGGAAAUUAACACCGCAACAACAGAGGAGGAAUCCAGGGGAACCCCAACAAUGGUAUUACGUGCCAAGUGGCCGAAUCGAUCAGCGUCCCCUGAGGCCAGAGCUCUGCAAUGCAAU